RNA transcript from Globicephala melas (long-finned pilot whale), 639 nucleotides. RefSeq lists it as uncharacterized. NCBI's taxonomy places the organism in Eukaryota, Metazoa, Chordata, Mammalia, Artiodactyla, Delphinidae. The record is from RefSeq and is a predicted model, not a curated record.
ACGGGCCCAGCCGCCCCGCGGCAUGUGGGAUCCUCCCGGACUGCGGCACGAACCCGUGUCUCCUGCAUCGGCAGGCAGACUCUCAACUACUGCGCCACCAGGGAAGCCCCCAGGCUCAACUCUUAAAGGGAGAGUGACAAAGUCCCUCUGCACAAGGACACAUGGGAUAGGAGAUACUGUUGCAGCCAUUUUUGAAAGAAUUUGAAGACACUCAGAAGAUGGAUUGGUGGGCAUGGAAACAAAACAAAGGAAGUUGGUUGAUGUCAGGUGAUAAUCUCAUACAGGAGGCCAUCAGGCCACAUGCCCAGAUCUACUUCCCCAGUGGCUACUACAGGGUCCGAGUGACACAACUUGCAUGCGUGGGAGAGUAAACUCUCCGGGCAGCAAAUUUUGACCAGUGGAAGAGAGAAGGCAGAGACAGAUGGGAGAUAUGUUUUCUCUUCCUUUUUCCCUCUGAUGGAUUGUUCUGGGCACAAUAUUUCCAUCCAGCCUGUCCAAAGAGGUCCUUUGUGACUGAGUGGUCACCUGCUGAGGAACCAGCUCUGGUUAUUCAUGGCAUUUUAUGAAGCAGUGGCCAGUGCAGUAACUCAGCACCUUGUACUUGCUGCCGGAUCUUCUCCGCCUGUCUUCCUCCCUAAC